Molecule: ribosomal RNA, 460 nt
Filed under: uncultured bacterium
Lineage: Bacteria
Description: partial 16S ribosomal RNA
Rfam family: Bacterial small subunit ribosomal RNA
Source: RNAcentral
CCUACGGGGGGCAGCAGUGAGGAAUAUUGGUCAAUGGACGCAAGUCUGAACCAGCCAUGCCGCGUGCAGGAAGACGGCUCUAUGAGUUGUAAACUGCUUUUGUACGAGGGUAAACGCAGAUACGCGUAUCUGUCUGAAAGUAUCGUACGAAUAAGGAUCGGCUAACUCCGUGGCAGCAGCCGCGGUAAUACGGAGGAUUCAAGCGUUAUCCGGAUUGAUUGGGGUUAAAGGGUGCGUAGGCGGUCGGAUAAGUUAGAGGGGAAAUCCCGAGGCUCAAAUUCGGAAUUGCCUCUGAUACUGUUCGGCUAGAGAGUAGUAGCGGUAGGCGGAAUGUAUGGUGUAGCGGUGAAAUGCUUAGAGAUAAUACGGAACACCGAUUGCGAAGGCAGCUUACCAAGCUACUUCUGACGUUGAGGCACGAAAGCGUGGGGAGCAAACAGGAUUAGAUACCCUUGUAGUC